UUGCUGUCUGCAUUCAUGAAAAGUGCAUCCCUCGGAUCGUAAUUGUUACUAAUAGUCGACAUCAACAACUCGUCUCUCGCGGACAUCGUCGAAAGCAAGACACAGGGAUCUUAAUUUCCGCGGAGUUCAGGCAACAUAGCAAAGCUACUCGAGCCAUCGAUAAUCGCGAGAAUUUAUCUAAUGCUGAGUCUGAGGCAAUUUUAAUUCUUGGUUUCGCGCUGGCUGCAAUGGCUCCAAUGGAUUAACGUGCGCAUACAUACGCAAACGGAAGCACUCGAUUUUAUAACGAAGAAUAAGAAACAUUAUGAAAUUAUAUGUUCAAUUGCUGCUCCUAGACUUUGUAACACGACGUUCGACACUGUCAAGAAUUAUUUUGUGUAAAAAUUCUGCAGUUUGAUGGACAAGAGACAUUCCCUUUGCUACAACCGCUCUUCUACAAGCAAGCAACGCGAAUCUUCUACGCGGAGCUCUUGGUUACCAUGGGGCUCGCUCUUUUGCCUCUAAAUCCGAUCCUGCUUUUAGCUUUAUCAUCUGUAAGAGAGACUCUUCUCUCUCUUCUGAUCUCUCUCCCCAUCUCCCUCCCUGCGCUCCACCUCACUCUUGACGUGGGCGAAAAUAGCGGAUCGGUCGAACAAAUGAGAAAGAGAGACGGAGAUAUCGUGCGCUCAGCAGGGUAGCAAAAGAGACGUCUUUGUGCCGCGCUAUCUUCGUCCAGGCAAUCUUUCCUGUUUUCUCCCUUACGCCUCCCUAUCCCCCUGGUCGUUGGAUAUACUCCUACAUGUACAAGAAACGCUUCUUUGUUCUCCGCGUCCUCCCUUAUACGUAAUACAGGUAGCACAUCGAAAACCGAAUUAAACCCGCCCUCCAAUGUCGAGUCGGCGGCUCAGAAUGCACGUAUGCUCCCUGUCCCACUCGUCUUUUAUUCGAGUCCAUCUUUCCCAGAGAUGGUGCUAACGAAAAUGCAAUCUCUCUUUCUCCCAAGGGGUUUCCAAGGAUAUUCAAAUUUCCUGAAAGAUAAUCCUCCGAAAAUAACGCCCGCUCGGUAAUUUAACGAAAAUGAACAUAUUGCCCCUGCAUCUGCUGAAUUUUUUGGAUUUAUCGUUCCAAUAAUUUUACCAGUAAAUUUUUUGAUUUUACCAGUAAAGCAUUUUUGAAUUUAAUGAAUUUUACUGUAUGAUAAAUUUUACAAAAUUGACAUGGGACAAAAUGAUGAUUUAUCGUACUAUUGAUCCACGUAUACCGAUGCCAAUGCAAUCUUAUCCUUAGAACAGAUUUACCGUCAUGGCAACAUGUUCCCGUCGUUGUCACGAUAUUUCGUAAAUCCCCGGCUGAAUGUCCGUACGUGUAUGUGUGUGCACCGUACGUUGACGCUGAUCGAUCGUACGAGAGAUCUUUAUCUCGCAGCUAAGAAUAAUUCGUCGAACCGGUUGGCCAAUGUACGCGGUACGUAAAUUUUUGUACAUAACACGCCUUUGCCAAAGUGAAAAUAGAGUGGCCGGUUGCAAGCUGCGGGCAGAUUGCCCAUCUAUUACGCAAACGUGAACUGCGAAAAGAGUUCAACGGCUGAAGAUGUAUCCCAAGUUUGGAUGCGCUGAUCAUCACGCAUAAUAGAAAGAGAGAGAGAGAGAUAUCAAAAGGAAAUAAGAGAAAGAAGAAAAGAGAUCAGUUUAUUAUUCUGAGAUAAACCUUGGCAAGAAAGAAACAAAGAAAUAUAAAAAAAGCAUAAGAGAUAAAAAGUAUGCAUUGAAUAUUCAUUUUUAUGUAAAUGUUAUAUUAAUCUUGAAAAACGGAAUUGAUUCUAUGUAUUAUUAUGCUUAUAGGUUGCACGCAAAGAAAAUAUAAUUAUUCCAAGUUUGAUCACAGAAGCGGAUUAAGGUUUCGAUCAGCACAGCGUGCCGCAAUCGAGAGACGCGAAAGUGAGAGCACCGCAGGAAGUCGCGAAAGAUAAGGGAUGGCGAUUAUUACAUAUCGGGGUAAACGAACUUCCAUAUGAACGAUAAACGUUCGCGUACGUGCAGUUGCAUGUAUAUCUGCGUGGCGAAUACGUUUCGAAAUAACUACGAGUCAACUUUCACACAAGACGAGCAGUUUCUUAAGAAUGAUUUGAUGAUAUAAGAAUCGCCUUGAUGAUAAAAGUUCAACAACCUUGAGUAUUUGAUCUUUGAAAUUAAUUGAAAAAUUUCUUCCGGAUUUCAAUCUCAAUUGCGUAACGAAAAAAGAUAAUGUUGCUUUAAGUAAGAGAGCCAAAAAGAUAAAUCAAGAAAGGCACCGCACAGCUGAUCCUUAUCUUGAUUUUAUGUAUCAGUGGCUUGAAAUUGGAGCAUCUAGCAUCAUUUCCUGCAGUCUCCAUAGAAGCAAAGAGAGAGAAAUAAUAAAUAUCACGUAUCUAAGUUCCGCUAUCAAGCCGCAAACAAGUUGACAUUGGCCAGUUACAAAACGAUACGGACAGUAAAACGAACAUGCAAGCUGUUUUCUCUUUUAUUUUUAAACAUGCUAACAUUAGAUACGCAUAAGUAUGACGAAAAAGGUUUUUUUAACGAUGCUUUUUUUUAGCCUCCAAUAUCUCGUUUUAACUGAUAUGUGAAAGACAUGCAUGCAAAUAUAAUUACUGAAGCACAACUUGAGCUAAGCGGAUUCAGUUAAUUUUAACCGUUCGCCAUACGACAUAAAAAGAAAUUCCGUUGCGGAGUUCCAAGAAAAACACGGGAAAAUUGACAAAAUACAAAAUACGAAAAUAGAAGAAGAAAAUCAGUAAUGUCAUGAAAAAACGUCAAGAUUAUAUAAGACCGUUUAUAACAUGAAAGACACACAUUUAUUAACAACUUCUCAAAGAUAUACAUUUACAACGUGUAAACGAAAUUCACACAAGAAGGUGGAAUAAUUAUAUUUCCUUUGCAAAGGUCGAUAAAUAUUGUCACUCUCCUUCAGCUACAUUCAUAUCUGAAAAAAGUACUAAUCUCUAUACCAAGGAAAGAAACAUCCUUUCAAGCUGCAUAGCUCUUGAAGAGUUUCUCGCAGCUGUGCCUCGAUGUUUCCCCCUUUUCCCUGAACGUGACUGUGUUUUUUGGAAGGGAAGAUUCGUACGUCACCCAACAUCCCCUCAUUCCAACAUCCUUACGCAGAGGCGUAUGAAAAGAUCUAAGUUGAUGAGUAAAACGUCACGUGUUCUGAAAAUCGCAUUUUAUUUUGCUUGCUCUCUUCUUCCAAUCCGGACGUCACGCUCACUGUGUGGUGACUCGUCUGCACAAGUUCCGAGGACCAUUAGCGAAAGAUGCCGAGUAGGCGGUCGUGCCUGUUUACGCGUGCACGCGCCUGUUUCUUCGUGUGCUUGCUGAACGUCAGUGCGGCUACACCGGUCAUCAGCUGAGCAUCUAAGAACAAACAUAUUGGGUCAUCCGGACACGCUCUUGAUCGUCCGCAGACGUACACGCCAACCAGAACUGUCUCGUCGCCAAAUUGGACACAGAUGUCCCGAAAUGCGUAAUGUCUAUUAAUUUGGGAGCGCUGAAUAUAUAGGCUGUUAACAAAAUGAUCUGCUAAACGUGUCUCCUGCCUUCGAAGAGCAUUUCGAGCUAUUCAAGAAGUCCUUAGCCACGCAGUAGCACUCGUGUAACAUGUAAUAAUAAGGCAGAUAUGAUGUAAACAGAAUAGAAGAGAAAUUUGGAAGAAUAGCGCACAAACCUGGGUCAAGCCUUGCGCAAUAUUGAAACAAUGCUCGAGGAUCGACAAAGAAUAGCGCAAUUCUUCGAUCCGGUUUACGUUUAAGGCGGCAGAGAAUUUUUCACGAGAGGUCAGAUGUGCCGAUAAUACGAGUUUUUGAGAUGGAAAUAUGAACAAACAGAUUGCGUCGAGCGGCCACGAGCGCGAAACCGGUUUCCUCUAUCCAGUCCUAUACGCCGUGAUAAUUGCGGGAACUAGUUGAAACAAUACGACCCCCACGCACAUUCUAGCGCUUCAAGCUUUAGUCGGCUCGGCUUCGCCACUCCUCGCGUUUUACAUUUACGAGUAUCCUUGUAACGCUCGUAAUAUUCAUGUAUAUCAUAAAAUUUAUUAUUAUAAACCGAUAUACGAAAACGUUUUUCUUUUGUAAUAACAAUUUCUUUGGCAUCUACGUACAUAUAAAUACCGUAUUAUUACUUAAUAACAGUAUUAUUAAUUAAUAAUGACAAACUUGUUGUCGAAUUCAAGCCGAAAUCGGUUAUUAGGAUAGUCUGGGAUGAUCCUUGACAGGAGAUUAAAGACGUACAAGAAAUAGGAGACAAGAAAUGAGAAGAACAUUUUCUGAUAUAUAUCUAUUUAUUAUUUGCGUUUCUCGAACGCAGAUAAAUUGUCGCAGAUAUUACAAAUUAGAAAUAACAUCACAUACAUAGUAGAUUCGUAAUACGGGGAAUACGUCCGCAAAGGAUCACUAACGUAUCGAAAAGCCGCGGCGUUAAUCGCGGGCAAACUAUCGCGAAAACUACGUAAUCGGACUUUCAUAUCGCGCAUAAGGUACAAAAAUAUCCAAAGCACAGCGAGCGCCGCGCAGAUCGUUGCUGUGCAACAUUACGAAUAUGUUUCUCUUUCCCUCUAUCUUUGCGAUACGGGAAAUUGUUAUCCUCGUUCUCCACCCUGUUGCUAUGAAGAGCCUUAUCAAUUCUUGCUUCUUGACCCAAUAUUUAACCCUUGAACAGUAUAUAAAAAAGUAACUUUUACAUUGUUCGCUAUUGUUAUCAGCUCUGUAUUUGUCGGCCACCGAGCAAAUUGCUGAUGGAUUCACAAUGGAUAUCUUCAAGUGCCCUACAAAACAGCCGCGUUCUCUCCCUUCAAACUCUCAUCGUACGAUGCGAUCAUGCAUAUUCAUCGUCAUGAUUUCUUUUUCAGGAAUUUCGACCAUCGUUCGCAUCGAUCCGGAGACUUCACAGCCACAGGGUGAACCUUCCCGCGCGCUCGUGAGAUCAGGAAGCGCUCUCCUCUCGACGGUUCGUGAAAAUAAUUUCAUCUCGCAGAUGGCCGAUGAGAACGCGUGAUCCCGCGAUUUGUGUGACACCGGUGAUGCGUUUCGAUCAACGCACAAUCGCUAAAUCGAUAAACGAUAAACAAAUAGGGAUCGGCUAUCAAACUGAUUCUCGUGCGAGCAAAAGCAACGGAACACUGGCCGCUUUCAACUUGUAACUAAAUUGUUGAUGCAUUGUGUUUGGAUCUCUUUCAUUUCUACAAUACGGUUCCCUCGCAAGACCAUCAUCGUCAUCAUCAAGGAUGCGCCCCAAGAACGUUAGACAUUACUCUUACUCAUAUAAAUGUACAUAUAUCCGUUUUAUAAUAUUUUUAUAUUUUAUUUCUUUCCUCCAGAGAAAAACUUGUACUUUUCUUACACAAUUACAGCUUGUAGGAGCAACUUUAUGCAAAAAACUUUGAGAUAAACUUUUGAAACAUGUCUAAUAAAAUUCUCACACACUGUAAAAACGUGAUUAACGAGCACAUCAUCGACGUUACAUUUCGACAUUAUUGUGUCUAUGAUAUAAUAUGUCAGAAAACGCGUAAAUUGUUAUGUGUCCAUGUUCAACCCUCGACAGUAUAAACGACGCUCGGGGAACUUGAAUAAAUCCCAGACUUCGCAAAACUAUACGCUACAAUUAUAAAAUUGAAUAUAAAUAAGAUAUAUAAUCACAAAAAGUUUAUAUGAUUUCUCCAGAUUUAAUAACUCUCACACCUGGCUCUUUUUAUUUCCCACAGUAAUUAACUCUAAAUUUAUAAAAUAUAUCAUUUUAUAUAUAUUAUACAAUAUUCGUAAUAUAACAAAUUAUAUCUCAUGUUUGUUGCAUAUAAUAUGUUUCAAUAUAAUAUAAUAUGCGAACUCACAUCACUCACAUCGAUUCUGCAUUUCGUAAAAAAGGUGUUUUAUACUGUUUAGGAUCAAUGUUUGAUGUAAAACAUAUACACACACUCGCAAUUCACCCACACACUCCUAAUUAACUAUUGAAUAACGUUUAAACGAGGCCGCGGGUAUUGCUUUCAAUCGCUCUGCAAUACAAUCAUUGCGACUUGCGACGUCGUUUGUAGCGUUUUGUUACUAACAAAUAAUUGCUGAUUACAAAUAGUACACGAUGAUGUACAGGGCUGAUCAAAUCUCAUUUCCCGGAAAGUAAUCUGUCUCCUCAUUUAUUAUACCGAUAAUAGUUCGAGAACAAAAUUUCAAACUUUUUCUUUUACAUUACACUUGUGCAUCGUGAGAAACAGAUUUGACGAUCUUCGCAAAUCUUAGGCAAACCUUUCCGGGCAAUGAUCUUGUCAUUCUGUAUCACAAAAGAUAUCGGCUGGUUUGAAACAUUUUUGUAUCGUCUGCUUAUAUCGUUUGUUGUAUCAGCAAAUCAGUCUUACACUUUCGUGCAAAUGCGAUACAGUCAGAUUUACACCGCGCGUUUAAUUCUACACGUGGCCCCGUCUCUUUUCCUCAUAUGAAGUUUCGAUUGCCUAUCUUUUUUUUGUCAUUCAAGGAAGCAAGAGGAUGUGUGGCUGUAUGUAUAACUUGUAGGAUGGUGGGAAAGUUUCUCGGACGGGAUUCUCCCUUUUCCCUUCAAUCCUUAAACCUUCAACCGGUUCGAUCCUGACGUUCAGGUUGUCAAAAGUUGCCAGCACUAUCGUCAAAUUGUCGCUUUUUAUUUUAUAUGUUCGAUACUUCUUUGGACACUUCCCUUUCGCAAUAAAGUUAUCAAGAAAAACUCGGUUUUCCUGUACAAUGACAUUAAAGUACGGAUCUUUCGCAACGAGACCAAUUGAAUUUGCAUCACUAUUUUAACUUUGACGUAUCAAUUUUCUCGUUUUGCCCUGCGUUUUGUAGUGAUCGAGUAUUGUGAUAUCUCAAGUGUUUUUUCAAUUAAAUGCGAUAAAUUUCGCUUUAAACCUAAGAUCUUGCUAACUGUUCGAUUGAAAAGACUUGGAGUUUUUCACACAAAAGACUUCUCUGAUGUUAGAUCUAGAGAUUCUUAAUAUGUUAUACUGAUCUAAUGAGAUUAUUACGAUUCAGAUCUUUUGGCUGCAGUAGAAGCAUCUGCUUCUUGUUUUAUCGAUUUUCGUUGAAAGCAACAACUUCAUUGUCAAAUUUUAUGAGUUCAAUUUUAUCGGAUCUCGUCGCGAAAGGUCCGUCCGUUUAAAUAUCAUUGGGAAAGGGAAACUUCACUUGCCGCUACGACAAGUAUUCAAUUCGCCGGUUAAAAUGUAAUCGCCAUUCUGUGUAA
Molecule: unclassified non-coding RNA, 7217 nt
Filed under: Ooceraea biroi (clonal raider ant)
Lineage: Eukaryota; Metazoa; Arthropoda; Insecta; Hymenoptera; Formicidae
Description: uncharacterized LOC105280936, transcript variant X2
Source: RNAcentral